GACAGAGGUGCCAAGCGUUAGGCGGAAUCACUGGGCUUAAAGCGUGUGUAGGCGGAAUUGUAAGUACCUUGUGAAAUCCCACGGCUCAACCGUGGAACUGCUCGGUAUACUGCUUUUCUUGAGCCACUUAGGGGCUGUCGGAACAAACGGUGUAGUGGUGAAAUGCGUAGAUAUCGGGAGGAAUACCAGUGGCGAAGGCGGCUGCCUGGCCUGUUCUUGACGCUGAGGCGCGAAAGCUGGGGGAGCAAACGGG
RNAcentral lists this ribosomal RNA (253 nucleotides) under uncultured bacterium. Its description in RNAcentral is "partial 16S ribosomal RNA". It matches the Rfam family "Bacterial small subunit ribosomal RNA", at positions 524 to 776 of the family's 1533-position model. The record is from RNAcentral.